RNAcentral lists this ribosomal RNA (460 nucleotides) under uncultured bacterium. RNAcentral describes it as "partial 16S ribosomal RNA". It matches the Rfam family "Bacterial small subunit ribosomal RNA", at positions 338 to 795 of the family's 1533-position model. The record is from RNAcentral.
CCUACGGGGGGCAGCAGUGAGGAAUAUUGGUCAAUGGACGAGAGUCUGAACCAGCCAAGUAGCGUGAAGGAUGACUGCCCUAUGGGUUGUAAACUUCUUUUAUAUGGGAAUAAAAUGUUCCAUGUGUGGGAUUUUGUAUGUACCAUAUGAAUAAGGAUCGGCUAACUCCGUGCCAGCAGCCGCGGUAAUACGGAGGAUCCGAGCGUUAUCCGGAUUUAUUGGGUUUAAAGGGAGCGUAGGUGGAUUGUUAAGUCAGUUGUGAAAGUUUGCGGCUCAACCGUAAAAUUGCAGUUGAAACUGGCAGUCUUGAGUACAGUAGAGGUGGGCGGAAUUCGUGGUGUAGCGGUGAAAUGCUUAGAUAUCACGAAGAACUCCGAUGGCGAAGGCAGUUCACUGGACUGCAACUGACACUGAGGCUCGAAAGUGUGGGUAUCAAACAGGAUUAGAUACCCUUGUAGUC